AUUGAACGCUGGCGGCAGGCCUAACACAUGCAAGUCGAGCGGCAGCGACUUAACUGAACCUUCGGGGAACGUUAAGGGCGGCGAGCGGCGGACGGGUGAGUAAUGCCUGGGAAUAUGCCCUGAUGUGGGGGAUAACUAUUGGAAACGAUAGCUAAUACCGCAUAAUCUCUUCGGAGCAAAGAGGGGGACCUUCGGGCCUCUCGCGUCAGGAUUAGCCCAGGUGGGAUUAGCUUGUUGGUGAGGUAAUGGCUCACCAAGGCUACGAUCCCUAGCUGGUCUGAGAGGAUGAUCAGCCACACUGGAACUGAGACACGGUCCAGACUCCUACGGGAGGCAGCAGUGGGGAAUAUUGCACAAUGGGGGAAACCCUGAUGCAGCCAUGCCGCGUGUGUGAAGAAGGCCUUCGGGUUGUAAAGCACUUUCAGUAGGGAGGAAGGUAGUGUAGUUAACACCUGCACUAUUUGACGUUACCUACAGAAGAAGCACCGGCUAACUCCGUGCCAGCAGCCGCGGUAAUACGGAGGGUGCGAGCGUUAAUCGGAAUUACUGGGCGUAAAGCGCAUGCAGGCGGCCUGUUAAGUCAGAUGUGAAAGCCCGGGGCUUAACCUCGGAAUUGCAUUUGAAACUGGCAGGCUAGAGUCUUGUAGAGGGGGGUAGAAUUUCAGGUGUAGCGGUGAAAUGCGUAGAGAUCUGAAGGAAUACCAGUGGCGAAGGCGGCCCCCUGGACAAAGACUGACGCUCAGAUGCGAAAGCGUGGGGGAGCAAACAGG
RNAcentral lists this ribosomal RNA (770 nucleotides) under uncultured bacterium. RNAcentral describes it as "bacterial SSU rRNA". It matches the Rfam family "Bacterial small subunit ribosomal RNA", at positions 28 to 776 of the family's 1533-position model. The record is from RNAcentral.